This 205-nucleotide ribosomal RNA is filed under the name Clostridioides difficile. RNAcentral describes it as "partial 23S ribosomal RNA". It matches the Rfam family "Bacterial large subunit ribosomal RNA", at positions 2413 to 2617 of the family's 2925-position model. Lineage: Bacteria; Bacillati; Bacillota; Clostridia; Peptostreptococcales; Peptostreptococcaceae. The record is from RNAcentral.
UAGUGAUCCGGUGGUUCUGCGUGGAAGGGCCAUCGCUCAACGGAUAAAAGCUACCCUGGGGAUAACAGGCUUAUCUCCCCCAAGAGUCCACAUCGACGGGGAGGUUUGGCACCUCGAUGUCGGCUCAUCACAUCCUGGGGCUGUAGUAGGUCCCAAGGGUUGGGCUGUUCGCCCAUUAAAGUGGUACGCGAGCUGGGUUCAGAAC